GGGUGGGUGUCCGAGUGGCUAAAGGAGACGGUCUGUAAAAUCGUUGGCGUAUGCCUACAGAGGUUCGAAUCCUCUCCCACCCACCA
This 86-nucleotide transfer RNA is filed under the name Pseudomonadota bacterium. Its description in RNAcentral is "tRNA-Tyr". It matches the Rfam family "tRNA". From Rfam's summary of the family: Transfer RNA (tRNA) molecules are approximately 80 nucleotides in length. RNAcentral also lists the same sequence under 1 other name. Lineage: Bacteria; Pseudomonadati; Pseudomonadota. The record is from RNAcentral.